UCCAAGCGGGAAGCGCGCCUCAAGAUGAGAUCUCCCGGGGUACAAGCCCCCGGAAGGAACCAUGUACACUACGUGGUUGAUAGGUCAGGUGUGUAAGUACAGCAAUGUAUUGAGCUAACUGAUACUAAUGAUCCGUGCGGCUUGACCAUAUAACCUCA
RNAcentral lists this ribosomal RNA (158 nucleotides) under Stenotrophomonas maltophilia. RNAcentral describes it as "partial 23S ribosomal RNA". It matches the Rfam family "Bacterial large subunit ribosomal RNA", at positions 2780 to 2925 of the family's 2925-position model. The record is from RNAcentral. Lineage: Bacteria; Pseudomonadati; Pseudomonadota; Gammaproteobacteria; Lysobacterales; Lysobacteraceae.